This 253-nucleotide ribosomal RNA is filed under the name uncultured bacterium. RNAcentral describes it as "partial 16S ribosomal RNA". It matches the Rfam family "Bacterial small subunit ribosomal RNA", at positions 524 to 776 of the family's 1533-position model. The record is from RNAcentral.
UACGAAGGGGGCUAGCGUUGUUCGGAUUUACUGGGCGUAAAGCGCACGUAGGCGGAUCGUUAAGUCAGGGGUGAAAUCCUGGGGCUCAACCCCAGAACUGCCUUUGAAACUGCAGUGCUAGAAUCUUGGAGAGGUCAGUGGAAUUCCGAGUGUAGAGGUGAAAUUCGUAGAUAUUCGGAAGAACACCAGUGGCGAAGGCGACUGACUGGACAAGUAUUGACGCUGAGGUGCGAAAGCGUGGGGAGCAAACAGG